Long non-coding RNA from Cryptotermes secundus, 3034 nucleotides. RefSeq lists it as uncharacterized. The record is from RefSeq and is a predicted model, not a curated record. Lineage: Eukaryota; Metazoa; Arthropoda; Insecta; Blattodea; Kalotermitidae. The transcript is spliced from 2 exons.
UUCUUGAGUAGCUGCAGAAUUGGCGGCUCCUCCAAAAGGGCUCAGCUCCAUGAGUAAGUAGGUAAGUAAGUAAUGACAAGACAUAGCUUUUAACACCAUUGGGGCUUCACUGACUUGCAUAUCAUAAAUGGUUAUGUCUGAGGUUACUUGUUCAUUCUUCUUGGUUUCUUCCACUGAAUUCCAGGAUGGUACUAUCUCCUUCCAAAUCCGUAUGUACUCAGAAUUCAGGUUAUAUAACUUAAGCAGUUGAAACAACAUUGUUCUGUCUUUCAAGUUGCGACUUUCAGGUGGUACUGUGCACUUUUUUUUUUUGCCUGUUUAUUCAAGCUGCUUGUCUAACCUCUCUUGGCCCCUUAUGUUUUACUAUCCUCCAGUAUGCAUUAGAAGUAUACCAUUUUACUUGCGUAAUGUUGUUCCUUACAUAAUGUAUCUCUUUCUGUUUUCGUGAAGAUAAUGUUAUUCUUUCUAACAAAGUAAUGUGUUCGCAAUAAUAUUAUCAUGGUGUGUGCAGGUUGUGUCACUGAUAACACAAAAACUUUUCAAGUUUGGCCCUUCUAACCCCAUGAGUAAUGGAACAUGAUGCAAUUCUGAAACGGCUUUCACUUACUUCUGGAAGACCUGUCACUGCAUUGUCUUUAGUGGUUGCUUUUCUAGAUCCUGCUAUGCAAACAUUAGUUCUUGGAUGGGGUAUCAAGCAACUAUGAGCCCUCUUGUUUUCACAGGGGUAUUCAAACAUCCAUACAUAUUCUGUUGGAAAGAUUUAAACCCAAGUCAAUCAUCAGUUAACUUUGUAACUUAACUGUAUGAACUGAUCUUAUGCCUUGAACCUGUUGUUUUUAAGUUAUGGAUUGUUUGAAAAUCAAUUAAGUAAAAUGAUUUGAAGAGUUAAACUUGCAAGAAUUUGAAGUGAGGACAUAAACAUAUCCAUGUUGCAGGUGCAGUAGGCCCAUAACCAUGCUGUGUCUGUCUCUGUCAUUUUGGAACUCUGCCUAGGAGUUUGGUUAUUUCCUUUGUUAUUUAUGGCAACCACAUUUGUGUGGUACACAUUCUAUCUAUAGCCUCUGCAGGCAUUACUAGGAACUGCUAAUUACUCAAGUAAUCUUGUCUGCCGUGGCUUGUGAAAGAAGUGGAAUAUGCGUUUGUUUUCCUGCUUCCCUUUAUUCAGUUGUUUUUUUUUUAACUUUUUAUUGUAUUUGAAUUUGCAGGUUAAAAAUGAACCUAUCUGUCAGUGUCCCUACUCACAGUACCACAUUUCAACUCCUCAUUAUCUUUACGUGAGAAUUAAAAAUGAUUUUUUGUGUUUGUUUGGGAAUUCAGCCUGUUCAUGCACCAAGAUUUACAUGAUUAAAGGUACUUAUUUAAGAUUUUCAUAUGUGUUGUCUUUGUUUCAGUAAAUUUUAAAAUUAUAUAUGUCAUGCAUGGUCAGCCUUGUUCUGUGCUUGUUUUUUCAUAUAGACCUUAUUUAGUGACAUUGUAUAGUAUUUGAGAGGUACUUGAAUCUUUCUGUAUUAUGUAUGAGGUAUCACUUCUGGUCUGAAUGUAGUGGGUUUCGUGAAGACCAGUGGAAGAAACAGCCACUAUCUUUCAGUAGUUAAAGCUAACUAUGGCAUGUCAGGAAGAGAUAUUAUGUUACCAUGGAAAUAUACUAACAGAAAAAAAUUUAAAUAAAUAAAAAUAAGUAUUUAAAAGACUAGAAUCAAAUGAAAUAAGAGAAUGAUUGUGUGUAGUGACUUGGAAGGAGCUUGGGGGAGAGAAGUAGUUGUGGCCUAUUUCAGGUACAUUUCCCAGGAUUUUCCCAGAGAACCAGGAAAACCACAAACACCCUACUUGGGAUGGCUGAUUUACAGGUUUCUAAAAUCGUGAUAUUCACUUUGUUGUUAAUUGUCUGUGUUGCAGUGUAAUAACAAGAACCUUGCAGAUAUAUAUUGGUUACAUUAUCACUCAGAUAAUCUGUUUGAUUAGCAUUUCAUUAACAGCCGUGUAUAUUCUUGUUUGGGAGUUGGGGCAAUAAUAUAAUAUUGCAGAAUUAAUACACAAGAAACAUGUGUUUCUGAGUUGUAUGACCAUUGAUACAAUGGACACAGGCAACCACCCGUGGAAUGUCGGUUCCGGCAGUCAAAGAGACAACCACAUAAAUUUCUAUAAUGGAUAUUUAUUGCUCCUAGAAGAAGAGCACACAGGCGAGCAGACAAGCAGAGUGUACAGUAACCAGUGAGGUACUGUGGGGCCCUUCUCACCUCUAAGGCAUGGCACGCCUGAUGAAUGCUGGCAAAGUUGCUGCCACAGUGAGUUAUGUGUGCUAGCGAUGGUGGUCCUCCUUGUUUAGCAGCCAGGUGACUGCAAGCCAGCCAUAGGGCGGUAAGCACUCGCGGUGGACUUCCCAAUGGGUCUAGUCAACCGCUCUUGGAGUUGGCUGCGGGUGUUGCUGCUAGGAGACUCGCGUUUGCUGUGUGCAUUCCAGAUGUGCUGCCUUGAGAGAAUAACAUGGAAAGUUUCAAUGGACAGUGUGCUGAAGAGAAUAUUUGAACCCCAAGGGAUAGAGUAAAAGGAGAAUGGAGAAUAUUCUAUACAGCAGCAACAUAAUUUGUAUUCUUCACCAAAUGUUGGCAGAGUGCUCACAUUGAGGAUGAUGAGAUGGAAGGACCAUGUUGCAAGCAUGCUGGACAUAAGAAGUACGCAUGAAAUCAUGUUUAGAAACCUGGAAGGAAUAUACCAUUUUAGAGAAGUGGAUGUAAAUGGAAAAAUAUUAUUAAGAUGGAUGUAAAAGUAAUGGGGUUUAAUAGUGUGAACUAGGUUCUUCUGCUUCAGGAUAUUAUUCAUUCCCAGGUAGUUGUAAACUUGGUAACGAAUCUUUGGCUUUCAUAAAGGAGGGGAAUUUCUUUACUGGCUGUUUAACUAUCAGCUUCUCAAGAAGGACUCUGCUAUAUAGACUUAAUAUAUAAUCUCUUACUAAAGACAUGAAUAAUGGAAUGUAAAAUGUAAAUAAACAUUAUUGUUAAUAUUUUGUGAUGAACAAUAAAUUUAAUUAUUUUUU